GAUGAAGAACGCAGCGGAAUGCGAUAAGUAAUGUGAAUUGCAGAAUUCAGUGAAUCAUCGAAUCUUUGAACGCACCUUGCACCCUUUGGUAUUCCGAAGGGUAUGCUCGUUUGAGUGUCAUUGUACUCUCACACUUCUAAUUCCUUUCGGGAUUGGGAGCGGUGGACUUGGGUGUUGCUGCUUUAGUUGUGGCUCACCUCAAAUAAGUUAGUGCAACUCUUGGUUGGACAUAGUACGGCGUGAUAAGUGUCUUCGCCGGCGCCUCUGUAAGGAGGGUGGCCGAUCGGGAGCUCUGUGCUUCAAACCGUCUUCGGACAAUCUUUGACAACUUGACCUCAAAUCGAGUAGGACUACCCGCUGAACUUAAGCAUAUCAAUAAGCGGAGGA
RNAcentral lists this unclassified non-coding RNA (387 nucleotides) under soil metagenome. RNAcentral's name for it is "partial contains 5.8S ribosomal RNA, internal transcribed spacer 2, and large subunit ribosomal RNA". The stretch from base 1 to 120 matches the Rfam family "5.8S ribosomal RNA", at positions 35 to 154 of the family's 154-position model. The record is from RNAcentral.